ACGUAGGUGACAAGCGUUAUCCGGAAUUACUGGGCGUAAAGCGCACGCAGGUGGUUUUGCAAGUCUGGCGUGAAAUCUCCUGGCUUAACCAGGAGCGGUCGCUGGAAACGGCAAGACUUGAGGCGAGGAGAGGGGUGCAGAAUUCCCGGUGUAGUGGUGGAAUGCGUAGAGAUCGGGAGGAAUACCAGUGGCGAAGGCGGCACCCUGGCCUCGUACUGACGCUCAGGUGCGAAAGCGUGGGGAGUGAACGG
RNAcentral lists this ribosomal RNA (251 nucleotides) under uncultured prokaryote. Its description in RNAcentral is "partial 16S ribosomal RNA". It matches the Rfam family "Bacterial small subunit ribosomal RNA", at positions 525 to 775 of the family's 1533-position model. The record is from RNAcentral.